Long non-coding RNA from Bos taurus (domestic cattle), 1208 nucleotides. The record is from Ensembl. NCBI's taxonomy places the organism in Eukaryota, Metazoa, Chordata, Mammalia, Artiodactyla, Bovidae.
GUAAUGUGAGAUCAACAGCUCCUCUGGGACUGUGGUUUGCGUGAAUACUUACAUAUUUGUUCAUUUCCAUCAGUUGCUACCUUUUUUCCAAGCUCUUACAAUGCAAAUGAUUAUGUACAUGCACUUUCUGGUUCCACACUUCUGACAACGAUGAGAGAGUCUGGUCUCACUUGCUCACAGGCCCCAAGGACAGAGGCCUCGCACCCAGACCUUCAGACCAGAGUUCUGAGUUGAAAGGGCUGCCCAGUACCUCAGCACCAAGCACAGCACUGCUAUUCAAGAUGGCAGCAGCUAAUGCAGAGACGCUGCCCGAGGCAUUGUGGUCCAGAGCCGGGAACUGGGCCCCAACCCCGCCCGCUCCCAGCUGGCAGGAUCUAUAAAGCAGCCCCACCUGUCUGAGAGACCGUGGACUCUAGAUCCAGAGCUCACAUCUUUUGGUUUUUUGAUCAAAGAAUAGUUUUUUCUUUGCUUCUAAACCAAACUCAGUCUCAUUCUGUUGGCUCUAAUGACACCAGUCAGGAGGAUCCUUAUUGGGGACUGACUUGGGAGGGCUGGCAACAAAACUGUGUUAUAAAAGAAAUUAGUCAGCGCAAGCAGACUUGGUCAGUAACAUUUUAUUUCCUGAUAAGGAGGACGGGGACCUGCUCUUGAGAAACACACUAAAAAAGCUGGGCCAAAAGACCCUGAAGCCAUUCAGAGGCGUUCACGCUCCAGCAGGAGUGGGGCCCGGGCCAUGCUGGUUUCAAGUUCCUCAUUGCUACAUAAAUGGCCAAAGGAAACAUUAUCCAAGUUUCACAUCAAAGGCUAAUGGCAGGCUGAUUUUCCUUUUAAUCUGUCCAAUAAGCAAGUGGGGAUUAGACAAUGUACAUGCUUAGGAAGACGACUUCAUGCUGCUCGAGUGGACUUGCCCAUGCUCUCGUCUCCAGCCUGUCCGCACUAAGGAGCAGGUGUGUGUGAACAGGGUGGCAUAGAAAAUCUCUAUAGAAUGUCUGAACAACAUACUAAAUAAAUGGAGCUGAAACCUGGGGAACAGUUGGAGCUGCAAUCAUCCCCUUUACUCCCAGCUGGCUUUAGGAAUUCAGAUGAGGUCCACCUCUGGGAAAGGAGGCCUCCCAGAAACCACAGGAAACCUGUCCUAAAUACCCAGGGUCUACAUGAUGGCUCAACACUGCAUGAGAAAUGAUGGCUUCUGACGUCCUGGAUUGAUC